Acanthosepion pharaonis is the source of this 106-nucleotide non-coding RNA. The record is from the annotation of a GenBank genome assembly. Lineage: Eukaryota; Metazoa; Mollusca; Cephalopoda; Sepiida; Sepiidae.
UACAGUCAUAUCACAUUGAAACACUAGUUCUCAAGUGAUCACCGAAGUUAAGCAACAUUAAGCCUACCAAGAUGGGUGACCACUUGGGAAUACCAGGUGCUGUAAG